RNAcentral lists this ribosomal RNA (295 nucleotides) under uncultured Anaerolineaceae bacterium. RNAcentral's name for it is "partial 16S ribosomal RNA". It matches the Rfam family "Bacterial small subunit ribosomal RNA", at positions 1074 to 1382 of the family's 1533-position model. Lineage: Bacteria; Bacillati; Chloroflexota; Anaerolineae; Anaerolineales; Anaerolineaceae. The record is from RNAcentral.
GUUCGGUUAAGUCCGCUAACGAGCGCAACCCUCGCUGUAUGUUACAUGUGUCAUACAGGACCGCCGGUAUCAAGCCGGAGGAAGGUGGGGAUGACGUCAAGUCCGCAUGGCCUUUAUGUCCGGGGCUGCACACACGCUACAAUGGUCGGUACAAUGGGUUGCUAAGCCGCGAGGUGGAGCCAAUCCCCCAAAGCCGGCCUCAGUUCAGAUUGCAGGCUGCAACUCGCCUGCAUGAAGCUGGAGUUGCUAGUAAACGCGCGUCAGCUAUAGUGCGUUGAAUACGUUCUCGGGCCUU